Molecule: non-coding RNA, 93 nt
Organism: Trametes cingulata
Lineage: Eukaryota; Fungi; Basidiomycota; Agaricomycetes; Polyporales; Polyporaceae
Source: the annotation of a GenBank genome assembly
GCCCCCGUUGUCUAAUGGCUAUGACGUCAGACUUCUAACGUGGGGGAUCACGUACCAAUCUGGAGGUUGCGGGUUCGAGUCCCGCCGGGGGUA